This 156-nucleotide ribosomal RNA is filed under the name Calonectria reteaudii. RNAcentral's name for it is "5.8S ribosomal RNA". It matches the Rfam family "5.8S ribosomal RNA". Rfam says of the family: 5.8S ribosomal RNA (5.8S rRNA) is a component of the large subunit of the eukaryotic ribosome. Lineage: Eukaryota; Fungi; Ascomycota; Sordariomycetes; Hypocreales; Nectriaceae. The record is from RNAcentral.
GUCAAUGCUCCACAUCGGAUCUCUUGGUUUUGGCAUCGCUGAAGUGAUCUCUAAGAGAGGACUGCCUCCCUUAAUUGCAGAAUUCAGUGAAUCAUCGAAUCUUUGAACGCACAUUGCGCCCGCCAGUAUUCUGGCGGGCAUGCCUGUUCGAGCGUC